Molecule: long non-coding RNA, 825 nt
Organism: Dermacentor silvarum
Lineage: Eukaryota; Metazoa; Arthropoda; Arachnida; Ixodida; Ixodidae
Exons: 6
Source: RefSeq, a predicted model, not a curated record
UCCGAAAUACCGCGCCUGUGCGCGGAGAAUAGGUUACGCCAACGAGGAAUUUACCACGUUUGAUCUACAUGGUAGUGCGGUCCCCUCGAUCGCGAUCUAAAUUUUCUGUGUGACGAUUAUAACCUCUUGCUUUGUGAUUGCUAUAUUCAGCACUUUUAUAAAACAAAGAUAUUGUUGAAUCAAAGGUAAACAGAGGUUUUACAAGUAAAAAAGAACAAGAGUUUUGUGCAAUUGUAUUGCACAUGUCCGUGUGAUCAUUGAAGCUCACACGAAUUGUCAUCUGUUUACAGACCUCCUUGCUGUUGCAACUCUGAGGAUAAUUGCUUCAAAUGGGAAGGAACAACCAGCAGUGCCAGCGCUAUUUGUACAUGAGGACACCUCCUUGCUGUUGCAACUCUGAGGAUAAUUGCUUCAAAUAGGAAGGAACAACCAGCAGUGCCAGCGCUAUUUGUACAUGAGGACACCUCCUUGCUGUUGCAACUCUGAGGAUAAUUGCUUCAAAUGGGAAGGAACAACCAGCAGUGCCAGCGCUAUUUGUACAUGAGGACACCUCCUUGCUGUUGCAACUCUGAGGAUAAUUGCUUCAAAUGGGAAGGAACAACCAGCAGUGCCAGCGCUAUUUGUACAUGAGGACACCUCCUUGCUGUUGCAACUCUGAGGAUAAUUGCUUCAAAUGGGAAGGAACAACCAGCAGUGCCAGCGCUAUUUGUACAUGAGGACGACGAGAGGGUUCCACUCACCCCCUGUGUGGUGUAUUCUGGCCACAACCUGGAACAGGCAGAGUUUCUCCACCUCUGUGUCGGCAAGGAACGGCUGUUCAUGGUC